CCCUUGGCGCGGCUUCGUGACCAGGGGGGGGGGGCCCGUUGCGCGCGCGUCCGUCUCCGGAGGCGCGGUAACGCCGAAUUGGUGAAAGAAGCCGCGACGCGAUGACGAGGCGUUCAGGCUCCGGGAGUGAUGUUUGUUCCUGUUGCAGAGUGCGAGCCCUGUUGCUGAGGGAAUAGAAGCCCCGGUCCCGGCAAGAGGACAUGCUGGUCCCGACACAUAUGGACGCUUGCCGUGCGUAAGCGCUCCGGUUUUUAAUCGUUUUAAGGCGUAAAUGAUACUCUCUUCUCUGGG
This is a long non-coding RNA of Gasterosteus aculeatus aculeatus (three-spined stickleback), 291 nucleotides long. NCBI's taxonomy places the organism in Eukaryota, Metazoa, Chordata, Actinopteri, Perciformes, Gasterosteidae. The record is from Ensembl.